UUCUUCAAAACAUUAAAACCACAUAAAACCAUACGAUAUAAAACUUGCAUAUUAUUUCAUUGACCAUAACAAAAAGUGACAAAACUAACACAACCUAAUAAUACUAUCCUAACACAAACAAUAGCACCAUACUACAUCAUCUUGACAAGAAACUGCAAGCAAACUUAUCAAUUGAUGCACUUUCAAUUCUAACUUCGAAACUUUAUCAUCCAAGCCAAAAACUUUCUUCAAAUUUGAACUCUCAAUACCAUCAAUCAACUUCAAAUUUGACAUUUUUUUCUUCACGAC
This 288-nucleotide long non-coding RNA is filed under the name Solanum tuberosum (potato). RNAcentral describes it as "long non-coding RNA (STUB_LNC005608)". The record is from RNAcentral. Lineage: Eukaryota; Viridiplantae; Streptophyta; Magnoliopsida; Solanales; Solanaceae.